RNAcentral lists this ribosomal RNA (371 nucleotides) under uncultured organism. Its description in RNAcentral is "bacterial SSU rRNA". It matches the Rfam family "Bacterial small subunit ribosomal RNA", at positions 526 to 896 of the family's 1533-position model. The record is from RNAcentral.
CGUAGGGGCGAGCGUUAUCCGGAUUUACUGGGCGUAAAGCGCGUUAAGGCGGUUGGCAAAGUUGGUGGUGAAAUCUCAGGGCUCAACCCUGAAACUGCCUCCAAUACUGGUCGACUAGAGUGUGAGAGAGGAAGGUGGAAUUCCCGGUGUAGUAGUGAAAUGCGUAGAUAUCGGGAGGAACACCAGUGGCGAAGGCGGCCUUCUGGCUCACAACUGACGCUGUAGCGCGAAAGCGUGGGGAGCGAACGGGAUUAGAUACCCCGGUAGUCCACGCCCUAAACGAUGUGAACUAGGUGUUGGGCGUAUUGACGCGCUCAGUGCCGUAGCUAACGCAUUAAGUUCACCGCCUGGGGAGUACGGCCGCAAGGUUA